RNAcentral lists this ribosomal RNA (315 nucleotides) under uncultured eukaryote. RNAcentral's name for it is "partial 18S ribosomal RNA". It matches the Rfam family "Eukaryotic small subunit ribosomal RNA", at positions 1470 to 1796 of the family's 1831-position model. The record is from RNAcentral.
CCCUUAGACGUUCUGGGCCGCACGCGCGCUACACUGACCAGUGCAACAAGCAUCCGUCCUUGGCCGACAGGCCCGGGCAAUCUUUGAACGCUGGUCGUGAUGGGGAUAGACUUUUGCAAUUUUUGGUCUUCAACGAGGAAUUCCUAGUAAACGCAAGUCAUCAACUUGCAUUGAUUACGCCCCUGCCCUUUGUACACACCGCCCGUCGCACCUACCGAUUGAAUGGUCCGGUGAAGCCUCCGGAUUGGCGCGCACCUCGGUGCCGCCGAGAAGUUGGCUAAACCUUACCAUUUAGAGGAAGGUGAAGUCGUAACA